CAGUCGCCGCGGUAAUACGGAGGAUCCAAGCGUUAUCCGGAUUUAUUGGGUUUAAAGGGUGCGUAGGUGGCCUGGUAAGUCAGGGGUGAAAGACGGUAGCUUAACUAUCGCAGUGCCUUUGAUACUGCCGGGCUUGAAUGAACUAGAGGUAGGCGGAAUGUGACAAGUAGCGGUGAAAUGCAUAGAUAUGUCACAGAACACCGAUUGCGAAGGCAGCUUACUAUGGUUUUAUUGACACUGAGGCACGAAAGCGUGGGGAUCAAACAGGAUUAGAUACCCGAGUAGUCCCUGUCUCUUAUAC
Molecule: ribosomal RNA, 301 nt
Filed under: uncultured bacterium
Lineage: Bacteria
Description: partial 16S ribosomal RNA
Rfam family: Bacterial small subunit ribosomal RNA
Source: RNAcentral